This 495-nucleotide ribosomal RNA is filed under the name uncultured bacterium. RNAcentral's name for it is "partial 16S ribosomal RNA". It matches the Rfam family "Bacterial small subunit ribosomal RNA", at positions 28 to 507 of the family's 1533-position model. The record is from RNAcentral.
GACGAACGCUGGCGGCGUGCCUAAUACAUGCAAGUCGAACGCUGAAGGAGGAGCUUGCUUCUCUGGAUGAGUUGCGAACGGGUGAGUAACGCGUAGGUAACCUGCCUGGCAGCGGGGGAUAACUAUUGGAAACGAUAGCUAAUACCGCAUAAGAGUAGAUGUUGCAUGACAUUUGCUUAAAAGGUGCAAUUGCAUCACUACCAGAUGGACCUGCGUUGUAUUAGCUAGGUGGUGGGGUAACGGCUUACCAAGGCGACGAUACAUAGCCGACCUGAGAGGGGGAUCGGCCACCCUGGGACUGAGACACGGCCCAGACGCCUACGGGAGGCAGCAGUAGGGAAUCGUCGGCAAGGGGCGGAAGUCUGACCGAGAAACGCCGCGGGAGGGAAGAAGGGUGUCGGAUCGUAAAGCUCUGUUGUAAGAGAAGAAAGAGUGUGAGAGUGGAAAGUUCACACUGUGACGGUAGCUGACCAGAAAGGGACGGCUAACUACGUG